UUAAAACUUAAAAUAGACAUUUUCUGAUUUCNAAUGUUGUGGUUACUGGUUAUGAACUUAUGGUACCUUGCUUAUGGUUUCUCAUGUACUNUAGGUGAGAUUAAACACAACAUGGUAGCAGGAGAAGUAAGCGCAUCACAAGGAAUGCGGCAGAGAAGAACAAGGUACAAUUUUUUUCCUCUUCAUGUGUUGAAUUAUGUGCAAAUCAUGAAACCAAAACUAUUGUUCUAAGUCUUGUGGGUGGUUUAUUUUUCAGAAGCCAAGCACUGAACUUGUGAAUGCUGCACUAGUAGCAGCUAAUGUUUGUGUUGGAAAUGUUGUUGCUGCUGUUGUAACAAAGGUGGAUCCAGCUUAGAGGCCACCAGAAAAAAUGUCAAGGCCUUCAUUUCAGUUCUCACAGCUAGAAGCAAGGUAGUUAAUUGUUCCUUUCUUUUUUCUUCUUUGAUUAUCUUCAAUUUUGGAAUUUGAUUUGGGAUUUUGUGUGAUCAUUAAAAUUUAGUUUGGAUCAAGUACAAUGACUUUAAUUUCAAAUGAUCCAUAUGAAGUGUGAUAAUAGUUUUGUUGUUGUUGUUGUUGUUCAUGUGUGGUCUAACAAUAAAAUCUGUCUACCUCACAAGCUGUUGCUGGACUUGCUUAUAAGCUGAAGGAUUUGGUAGUGAACAUUGAUUCAACUGACAUGGACAAUGAAUUGGCUGCAACUGAGUACAUUGAUGAUAUCUAUAACUUUUACAAACUCACUAAAGUAAUGCUACUUUGUGUUCUUUCUUUAUAUCACUAUCUUCUUUUAUCACUGCACUUAUUUCUCUAAUGUAUGCUUACAAACAAUUAUGCAAUUAGGUGAUGGCCUGGACUUUGUGUUUUUAUGUAGCAACAGAUGGUUAUAUAUAUGUGCUAAUUACUGGUGACUGCUGUGCUUGUGUCUUCAGACCAAAGAGCUACAAAUAUUUUUGCUUUCCACUUUAGCCUACAAGUUUUGACUUGGUUGUACAUUUUGCUGCUGCUGCUGCUUGCUGCUUCAUCCGAAUUGGUUGAAGAGUUUCUCUAUACAGAAAAAACCUUUCACUUAAAGAGAUAUAAAUUGUCUCUAACAAGGUGACACUCACUGCCUUCGCACUGCUAUGGAAAGUAACUGGGAUCUGUUUGGAAUAUGGCUAAGAGUUUAUGUUGAAUUGAUUUCUCUAACAAGGUGACACUCACUGCUUUCAUUCACCCUAUGCGGGGAAUAUUCAUGAAGUGCAUUUCUUGGAAUAUUCAUGAAGUGUUGUGCUAGUCUCAACUGAACAGCGACAAGGUCUGCAAUCGGUGUGGCUUGCCGCUGUGGAACAUAAGGAAUAUGAUCAUCUUCAAGGAAGGGCAUUUGGAUGGGGAACGAGUUGUGGAGAUAGCACUGUUAAGGGCAUGGAACUGGUUAAGAGCGA
This 1418-nucleotide long non-coding RNA is filed under the name Lotus japonicus. RNAcentral describes it as "long non-coding RNA (LJAP_LNC002113)". Lineage: Eukaryota; Viridiplantae; Streptophyta; Magnoliopsida; Fabales; Fabaceae. The record is from RNAcentral.